GAAGAGUUAGUCUAAUAAGACAGUUGAUUUCGACUCAACAAAUUAUGGUUUAAUUCCAUAACACUUCU
RNAcentral lists this transfer RNA (68 nucleotides) under Anomaloglossus surinamensis. RNAcentral's name for it is "tRNA-Arg". It matches the Rfam family "tRNA". From Rfam's summary of the family: Transfer RNA (tRNA) molecules are approximately 80 nucleotides in length. Their secondary structure includes four short double-helical elements and three loops (D, anti-codon, and T loops). The record is from RNAcentral. Lineage: Eukaryota; Metazoa; Chordata; Amphibia; Anura; Aromobatidae.